This is a long non-coding RNA of Entelurus aequoreus (snake pipefish), 1255 nucleotides long. RefSeq lists it as uncharacterized. The record is from RefSeq and is a predicted model, not a curated record. NCBI's taxonomy places the organism in Eukaryota, Metazoa, Chordata, Actinopteri, Syngnathiformes, Syngnathidae. The transcript is spliced from 2 exons.
AGGCCAUGUAAAAGGACGUGAACCCCGGCCUUGAGUUCGACACCUACAGCUACAGAUGCACAAAACUCUUCCAGUGGAUGAUUCGCUCCAGAAAGUGCUGUCACGCCAGCCUGUUUGCGAGACGACAAAAACGAGGUUUCUGGGUUGAUGCGGGACGUUUUUUUUCUCUCCCAUCCUCAUUUGGAUUGGACCGUCUCUUCAUUAUCAUCAUCCUGCCUGCUGCUGCCGCCGUUGUGCGUCUCCGUGCGGCCCCCGUGGUGUUGUGACACUUGGCAUAGGUCAGCGUUUAGCCUCAAUUAUCAGACAAUCGGCGUUCACCCCCCGCUGGAUUCCAAACGCAGACAUUUCCUCCCCCCGCUCGUCUUUGCACCUCAAAGUUGGCGCGGUAGGAACGUCUUCUGGUGUGACGGACAUUUUAGUCAAUGUGACAGCUGGUGAAGUUGGGAGAAGGCGAUCAAUCAUUAGUCAGAUUGAUUGAAUGAGAGGCGACACUGUUACAUUUACUUCAUUACUUUUUGGAUAUGUUGUACCUGUCAGAGUAGUUUUCAUGCCACAUAUUUGGGGAUUUAUGUUAGAAAAAAACAUGACUUUGCUUUAUCAGUAUCAUGUUUCAAACACAGCAUCGACAGUCUGCAACAUUGUAGCCCAGACCUGGGCAAAUGAAGGCCCAGGGGCCGCAGGCGGCACGUUAAGCGUUUCAAUCUGGCCCGCCAGACAUUCCCAAAUAAUUUUUUUAGACCUUUAAGAUCAAAACUGCAGCUGCCAUUAUGAUGUGCAGUGAUGUUUUCAAAUGACCGUAAGUCUUGAAUUAUAAAAAGUAUUUAAAUGGUUGAAAUCUGCGCUUUUGCAUGAUAUACUAGUUACUAUGGUAAUCUAAGUCACAGCAGCUCAGACGAGGCACCAAGCAGUGUGGGUGGGGAGCGUUUCCAUAGUGUGAUUCCAGAGCGGCCAGCCUGAAAUGCGGGUGUCAGGGACAGAGGCGGAAGGAGAUUUUUACAACGAAGUUCUAAAGCUUAGCGAUAUAUCAGAUUGUAGGAGUUUUUUGUUUUUUUUAUACCCUUCGCGUUCAUAUUUCGCUGUUUGUUGCAUUUUGCUUGAUUGUAAAAUAUGUCGAUCGAGAGUGGGUGACGUUCAUAUGUUGUCAAUAUUCAGUGUUUUAUCGUUCGUAGUUGAUAGUGUAAAUCCCACAUUCUUUUUCAUGUACAUUCUGGAUGUCUUUCAGUAAAAAAAAAUUAAAUUCCAUUCUGUUUUUUAA